AUCUCUUGCCAAGCAGGGCUGGGCCUAGUUAGUACUUGGAUGGGAGACCGCUGGGAAUACCAGGCGCCAGAGUUG
This 75-nucleotide ribosomal RNA is filed under the name Periophthalmus magnuspinnatus. Lineage: Eukaryota; Metazoa; Chordata; Actinopteri; Gobiiformes; Gobiidae. The record is from RNAcentral.